GACGAACGCUGGCGGCGUGCUUAAUACAUGCAAGUUGAGCGCUGAGGGCUGGUACUUGUACCGCCUGGAUGAGCAGCGAACGGGUGAGUAACGCGUGGGGAAUCUCCCUUUGAGCGGGGGACAACAUUUGGAAACGCAUGCUCAUACCGCAUCCAAACUUUAAACACAGGUUUUAAGUUUGAAAGUUGCCUUUGCAUUACUCACACAUGCUAUCGCGUUGUAUUAGCUGGUUGGUGAGGUCAAGGCUCCCAAAGGCGAAGAUACAUAGCAGGCCGGCGAGGGGGAGCGGCCACAUUGGGACGGAGACCCGGCCCAAACUUCUACGGGAGGCAGCAGUAGGGAAGCUGGGGGAAGGGGCGAAAAUCUGACCAAGCAAGGCCGCGUGAGUGAAGAACGUUGUCGGGUCGUAAAACGCUGUCGGUAGGGAAGAACCUUGGUGAGAGUGGAAAGCUCAUCAAGUGACGGUAACUACCCAAGAAGCGACGGCUAACUACGUG
Molecule: ribosomal RNA, 497 nt
Filed under: uncultured bacterium
Lineage: Bacteria
Description: partial 16S ribosomal RNA
Rfam family: Bacterial small subunit ribosomal RNA
Source: RNAcentral